This 1713-nucleotide long non-coding RNA is filed under the name Salmo salar (Atlantic salmon). RNAcentral's name for it is "lncRNA (ENSSSAG00000102186.1)". Lineage: Eukaryota; Metazoa; Chordata; Actinopteri; Salmoniformes; Salmonidae. The record is from RNAcentral.
GGGGGACAGAGAAAAGUGAAACAGAUUAGAUCCUGAUUUUAACUGACAGAGAGGAGGUUCUUUCUGUAGUGAUUCAUUACAACUGGCUACUACUAAUUGAGGUGUAAAAAAUGUUUUCUCGCCCUUCUCGCUCACUUCCCUGUUGUUGGAGCCUCCCAGAUUUGUUGUGACACACUGUGGUUUGGAAGCAGUUGGUUGUUAGUUGAAUUAUAUGAAUUGUCAGUGGUGGAAAUGUGGGGACUUUUGAUCUCUCAACCUCUUUAUUUCAGAUUUUUUUUUGAGGGAGUAACACCCGGCUGCAGACUGUGGACAGGAAACAGAGAGCGAGAGAAGCUAAAAGCAUCCACCAUGCUUCCCAGCCGAAACAGUUUGGAAGAGUUUGUGCAUAUAUUCUGACAACAUUUUUGGAGUUUUUUUGCUGUUUGAGCACACAAAUAUUUUUCUGGAGGCAAGCUGAAGUUCGGAGCCGAAGUCUACACCCCUUCGUCAGUGAUUGGUCAACACAAGGUAUUAUGGAGUAUGCGAGGGAGUAUGCGAGCACACUAGUUCGGUUUGGCUUGUCGAGUUCAGCUAGGCGCCAGCCGAACUGUAGCAUUCUUAAGCAACAGGUUUGUUAAAUUAUUUUUUAAAUGUAACCUUUAUUUAACUAGGCAAGUCAGUUAAGAACAAAUUGUUAUUUACAAUGAUGGCCUACUCCAGCCAAAUCCAGCCAACGCUGGGCCAAUUGUGCACUACCCUAUGGGACUCCCAAUCACAGCCAGAUGUGAUACAGCCGGGAUUCAAACCAGGUACUAUAGUGACACCUCUUCCACUGAGAUGCAGUGCCUUAGACCGCUGCGCCACUCAGGAGCCCAAUAAGGAGGAAGGACAUUCCAGGAAUGUUUUGCCAGUUGCCACCUUCUCCAUUCACAGCCAUUUGUGUUGGCCCUAUCUAUUACUUUCACUGCAGUGAUACCUUUUGUCCACAGCCUUAGUUUGUGUUCAUAUUUCAGCAUCAUUUCAAUAAAUCUAAUGGAAGGCAAUAUGUUUUUGAACACAGGUGUACUGUAGACUGAUGAUGCUUUGCUAGUGUAGGAAUGUAGAAAUAGGCCCUUCCUGUUGCAUAGACUUAUCUAGCUCCUUAUGUGCUGAGUGACUUGUUGUGGAGUGCUGUGCUGGGGUACAGGCACGGAUGUCUGAUAUACAGAGUGACAUACUGUAGGGCUGCUGGGGAUGAGUGGGUGUUUGAGGUCAUACGGUAAUAUACAGUGAGGGAAAAACAUAUUUGAUCCCCUGCUGAUUUUGUACGUUUGCCCACUGACAAAGAAAUGAUCAGUGUAUAAUUUUAAUGGUAGGUUUAUUUGAACAGUGAGAGACAGAAUAACAACAAAAAACUUCAGAAAAACGCAAGUGAAAAAUGUUAUAAAAUGAUUUGCAUUUUAAUGAGGGAAAUAAGUAUUUGACCCCUCUGCAAAACAUGACUUAGUACUUGGUGGCAAAACCCUUGUUGGCAAUCACAGAGGUCAGACGUUUCUUGUAGUUGGCCACCAGGUUUGCACACAUCUCAGGAGGGAUUUUGUCCCACUCCUCUUUGCAGAUCUUAACCAAGUCAUUAAGGUUUCGAAGCUGACAUUUGGCAACUCGAACCUUCAGCUCCCUCCACAGAUUUUCUAUGGGAUUAAGGUCUGGAGACUGGCUAGGCCACUCCAGGACCUUAAUGUGCUUCUUCCUGAG